GGAGAAGUCGCAUAGUGGUCGAGUGCGUACGCCUGGAAAGCGUAUAUAAACGAAAGUUUAUCGCGGGUUCGAAUCCCGCCUUCUCCGCCA
This 90-nucleotide transfer RNA is filed under the name Candidatus Roizmanbacteria bacterium CG_4_10_14_3_um_filter_33_21. RNAcentral's name for it is "tRNA-Ser". It matches the Rfam family "tRNA". From Rfam's summary of the family: Transfer RNA (tRNA) molecules are approximately 80 nucleotides in length. RNAcentral also lists the same sequence under 1 other name. The record is from RNAcentral. Lineage: Bacteria; Candidatus Roizmaniibacteriota.